CCUGCUGAUCCGCUCCCUCCCUGGUCGGCUGUGUCACCACAUCUGGGAUUCCUUCGGAGUUGCAGCGCUUGGACGCUCCUGCUGUCUUGUCUUGCCGGUUUUGUUUGGGCCGCUCUCGACUGAGCCUGCUGACGCUUGGGCUGGCGGAACGAGCAGAGCACGACUCCUCUGGCCCCGCGUGAAAAGACAUUAGAAGUCGGACAACGACAAUUUGUCCCAUCGUUUGCAGUGUAAGGUGCAUGAAGACUGAAUUCCCAGCCAGAACCCUGGAAGAAUCUUUUUCUCCAUCGUGGUUGCGACUCGGUGCAGCAGCCUGGCCUCCUUCUCCGCGCCCUCACCGGCUACAGCGUAGAAGUUGAUGAUCCCGG
Gambusia affinis (western mosquitofish) is the source of this 368-nucleotide long non-coding RNA. RefSeq lists it as uncharacterized. The record is from RefSeq and is a predicted model, not a curated record. NCBI's taxonomy places the organism in Eukaryota, Metazoa, Chordata, Actinopteri, Cyprinodontiformes, Poeciliidae. The transcript has 3 exons.